GGAUGUGAGGGUGAUCUAGUUGUGACAUCUCUCACCCCAUUGAUCUUAAGGGUUGAUUCAACUGAUCUGGCUGGGUAGCUGGGUGUCUCCUUCCUCCCUCAACACUCCAUGUACACCCCUCCCAAAGCUGCAUGUUCUGUGUAAUAGGAUGACCUUCCCAGAUAGGGGAGGACUAUUCCUUGGUCAAGGGUAUAGGAGAAGCUAUGGAAUUUAAGAAAAAAGGCAGCAAAGUAUAGGGUACAAAAGGGAAAAAUGAAACAAGAUGAAACCAUAGAGGAAAACAAACCAUAAGAGACUCUUAAUGU
Molecule: small RNA, 305 nt
Filed under: Mustela putorius furo (domestic ferret)
Lineage: Eukaryota; Metazoa; Chordata; Mammalia; Carnivora; Mustelidae
Description: 7SK RNA (ENSMPUG00000021949.1)
Rfam family: 7SK RNA (bases 1-200)
About the family: 7SK was discovered as an abundant small nuclear RNA in the mid-70s but a possible function has only recently been suggested. Two independent studies have found that 7SK RNA binds the CDK9/cyclin T complex (known as elongation factor P-TEFb). P-TEFb activates transcription by phosphorylating the C-terminal domain of RNA polymerase II.
Source: RNAcentral